RNAcentral lists this ribosomal RNA (445 nucleotides) under Corynebacterium matruchotii. Its description in RNAcentral is "bacterial SSU rRNA". It matches the Rfam family "Bacterial small subunit ribosomal RNA", at positions 28 to 463 of the family's 1533-position model. The record is from RNAcentral. Lineage: Bacteria; Bacillati; Actinomycetota; Actinomycetes; Mycobacteriales; Corynebacteriaceae.
GACGAACGCUGGCGGCGUGCUUAACACAUACAAGUCGAACGGAAAGGCCCCCACUUUUUUGGUGGGGGUGCUCGAGUGGCGAACGGGUGAGUAACACGUGGGUGAUCUGCCCUGUACUUCGGGAUAAGCUUGGGAGACUGGGUCUAAUACCGGAUAGGACCAUGGUUUAGUGUCUCAUGGUGGAAAGAUUAUUGUUUUGGUGCAGGAUGAGCUCGCGGCCUAUCAGCUUGUUGGUGGGGUAAUGGCCUACCAAGGCGUCGACGGGUAGCCGGCCUGAGAGGGUGGACGGCCACAUUGGGACUGAGAUACGGCCCAGGCUCCUACGGGAGGCAGCAGUGGGGAAUAUUGCACGAUGGGCGCAAGCCUGAUGCAGCGACGCCGCGUGGGGGAUGACGGCCUUCGGGUUGUAAACUCCUUUCGUUAGGGACGAAGCCGCACCUUUUUU